GGAAAGGCGCGCGAUACAGGGUGACAGCCCCGUACACAAAAAUGCACAUGCUGUGAGCUCGAUGAGUAGGGCGGGACACGUGGUAUCCUGUCUGAAUAUGGGGGGACCAUCCUCCAAGGCUAAAUACUCCUGACUGACCGAUAGUGAACCAGUACCGUGAGGGAAAGGCGAAAAGAACCCCGGCGAGGGGAGUGAAAAAGAACCUGAAACCGUGUACGUACAAGCAGUGGGAGCACGCUUAGGCGUGUGACUGCGUACCUUUUGUAUAAUGGGUCAGCGACUUAUAUUCUGUAGCAAGGUUAACCGAAUAGGGGAGCCGAAGGGAAACCGAGUCUUAACUGGGCGUUAAGUUGCAGGGUAUAGACCCGAAACCCGGUGAUCUAGCCAUGGGCAGGUUGAAGGUUGGGUAACACUAACUGGAGGACCGAACCGACUAAUGUUGAAAAAUUAGCGGAUGACUUGUGGCUGGGGGUGAAAGGCCAAUCAAACCGGGAGAUAGCUGGUUCUCCCCGAAAGCUAUUUAGGUAGCGCCUCGUGAAUUCAUCUCCGGGGGUAGAGCACUGUUUCGGCAAGGGGGUCAUCCCGACUUACCAACCCGAUGCAAACUGCGAAUACCGGAGAAUGUUAUCACGGGAGACACACGGCGGGUGCUAACGUCCGUCGUGAAGAGGGAAACAACCCAGACCGCCAGCUAAGGUCCCAAAGUCAUGGUUAAGUGGGAAACGAUGUGGGAAGGCCCAGACAGCCAGGAUGUUGGCUUAGAAGCAGCCAUCAUUUAAAGAAAGCGUAAUAGCUCACUGGUCGAGUCGGCCUGCGCGGAAGAUGUAACGGGGCUAAACCAUGCACCGAAGCUGCGGCAGCGACGCUUAUGCGUUGUUGGGUAGGGGAGCGUUC
This 894-nucleotide ribosomal RNA is filed under the name Escherichia coli. Its description in RNAcentral is "partial 23S ribosomal RNA". It matches the Rfam family "Bacterial large subunit ribosomal RNA", at positions 344 to 1241 of the family's 2925-position model. The record is from RNAcentral. Lineage: Bacteria; Pseudomonadati; Pseudomonadota; Gammaproteobacteria; Enterobacterales; Enterobacteriaceae.